AUACGAAGGGUGCAAGCGUUAAUCGGAAUUACUGGGCGUAAAGCGCGCGUAGGUGGUUUGUUAAGUUGAAUGUGAAAGCCCCGGGCUCAACCUGGGAACUGCAUCCAAAACUGGCAAGCUAGAGUAUGGCAGAGGGUGGUGGAAUUUCCUGUGUAGCGGUGAAAUGCGUAGAUAUAGGAAGGAACACCAGUGGCGAAGGCGACCACCUGGGCUAAUACUGACACUGAGGUGCGAAAGCGUGGGGAGCAAACAGGAUUAGAAACCCUAGUAGUCC
Molecule: ribosomal RNA, 274 nt
Filed under: uncultured bacterium
Lineage: Bacteria
Description: partial 16S ribosomal RNA
Rfam family: Bacterial small subunit ribosomal RNA
Source: RNAcentral